This 551-nucleotide small RNA is filed under the name Pan troglodytes (chimpanzee). RNAcentral's name for it is "processed transcript". Lineage: Eukaryota; Metazoa; Chordata; Mammalia; Primates; Hominidae. The record is from RNAcentral.
ACAGAUGCCUGGCCGUGGUGGGGCUGCGGUGGGGACCCACUUGGUCUUGCUGAGUGAUCUGUGACGGCUCGCGGGGUGGCUCAGUCUUUCCUGCAGCUGCGCAACUGGACGGCCUCCCUGCUCUGCUCCGCAGCCGACCUCCCCGCCCGUGGCUUCAGCAACCAGAUCCCGCUGGUGGCGCGGGGGAACUGCACCUUCUAUGAGAAAGUGAGGCUGGCCCAGGGCAGCGGAGCACGCGGGCUGCUCAUCGUCAGCAGGGAGAGGCUGGUCCCCCCGGGGGGUAAUAAGACGCAGUAUGAUGAGAUUGGCAUUCCCGUGGCCCUGCUCAGCUACAAAGACAUGCUGGACAUCUUCAGGCGUUUCGGCCGCAUGGUGAGGGCGGCGCUGUAUGCGCCUAAGGAGCCGGUGCUGGACUACAACAUGGUCAUCAUCUUCAUCAUGGCUGUGGGCACCGUCGCCAUCGGCGGCUACUGGGCCGGGAGUCGGGACGUGAAGAAAAGGUACAUGAAGCACAAGCGCGACGAUGGGCCCGAGAAGCAGGAGGACGAGGC